This 208-nucleotide long non-coding RNA is filed under the name Nicotiana benthamiana. RNAcentral describes it as "long non-coding RNA (NBEN_LNC005214)". Lineage: Eukaryota; Viridiplantae; Streptophyta; Magnoliopsida; Solanales; Solanaceae. The record is from RNAcentral.
GCGCUUUGGCUGAAGGAUUCCCUCCGGAGUCUGUACAUAGCCCUCGUGAGUGCAUGUACCUACUGCGUGCAUGUGCAAGUUUCUAGAGCGAGUGUCGUGUGAUUGUCAGGAUUGAGUGACUGGGAUGACUGAGUGAACUGAUACCAUGAGAGCAUGCAAAUUAUUUUAUCACUGAGUUGCAUCGUAUAUGGCAUGCACACUUGACAUA